This 262-nucleotide ribosomal RNA is filed under the name uncultured Lactobacillus sp. RNAcentral's name for it is "partial 16S ribosomal RNA". It matches the Rfam family "Bacterial small subunit ribosomal RNA", at positions 277 to 524 of the family's 1533-position model. The record is from RNAcentral. Lineage: Bacteria; Bacillati; Bacillota; Bacilli; Lactobacillales; Lactobacillaceae.
UGAUGCAUAGCCGAGUUGAGAGACUGAUCGGCCACGGUUGGGGACUGAGACACGGGCCCAAAAACUCCUACGGGGAGGCAGCAGUAGGGAAUCUUCCACAAUGGACGAAAGUCUGAUGGAGCAACGCCGCGUGAGUGAAGAAGGUUUUCGGAUCGUAAAAGCUCUGUUGUUGGUGAAGAAGGAUAGAGGUAGUAACUGGCCUUUAUUUGACGGUAAUCAACCAGAAAGUCACGGCUAACUACGUGCCAGCAGCCGCGGUAAU